Dendrobium catenatum is the source of this 112-nucleotide long non-coding RNA. RefSeq lists it as uncharacterized. The transcript has 2 exons. The record is from RefSeq and is a predicted model, not a curated record. Lineage: Eukaryota; Viridiplantae; Streptophyta; Magnoliopsida; Asparagales; Orchidaceae.
GAAGUUCUUGUUGAAGACAAGUCUUUAACAGUUCUCUAUCAAGAUGGGAACACUGUUACAUUAAUGGAUCCAAGCACAUUUGAGCAACUUGAAGUUCCCAAGGAUUUGUUUG